GAUUAUGGCUCAGGAUGAACGCUGGCGGCGUGCUUAACACAUGCAAGUCGAACGGAGUUAUUGAAAGCUUGCUUUAAAUAACUUAGUGGCGGACGGGUGAGUAACGCGUGGGUAACCUGCCUUAUACCGGGGGACAACAGUUGGAAACGACUGCUAAUACCGCAUAAGCGCACAAGAAGGCAUCUUCUAGUGUGAAAAAACUCCGGUGGUAUAAGAUGGACCCGCGUCUGAUUAGCCAGUUGGCGGUGUAACGGACCACCAAAGCGACGAUCAGUAGCCGGCCUGAGAGGGCAAACGGCCACAUUGGGACUGAGACACGGCCCAAACUCCUACGGGAGGCAGCAGUGGGGAAUAUUGCACAAUGGAGGAAACUCUGAUGCCAGCGACGCCGCGUGAGUGAAGAAGUAUCUCGGUAUGUAAAGCUCUAUCAGCAGGAAAGAAAAUGACGGUACCUGACUAAGAAGCCCCGGCUAACUACGUGCCAGCCGCGGC
Molecule: ribosomal RNA, 492 nt
Filed under: uncultured bacterium
Lineage: Bacteria
Description: bacterial SSU rRNA
Rfam family: Bacterial small subunit ribosomal RNA
Source: RNAcentral